GUUUAUAUAUUUAUAUAUAUAUGGCCCCCUAUUUCUAUUUAUAUACGUUGUCCUGCGGUGGGAAUGAAGGCAAGAGAACUGGAUUUUCAUGUGGUGUUUGUUGAGCUCUUCAUAUUUCAUUUGGGUUUAACAAAGUGUUUCUUACAGAGUUUAUUGGCAUUCUGUCCACCUCCACCUCAAGAUGAAUAACUCUCUCUCUCUCUCUCUCUCUCUCUCUCUCUCUCUCUCGAUAGCUACAAUGGAGGUGGGCAUCCUGCCAACCGAGCUCUGUUGGUUUCUCUUUGUAAAACCUUUGUGAUUAUGUUUCAGUAUGGCUCCCCUUUUCACCGCUUUCAUUCUAUUUUUCUCAAUCAAGGUGGUAAUUAGGAGGUUUUCUGGUAUGUCAAAGUGGUGGUGCAAUCUAUGGACAUGAAAGAGAUGUAUGUUCUAUGAGAGUAGUCCAUGAAUGAUGGUAGUUGAGCAUGGUUGGCCCAAUUGUUUCAUUUAAUCUUCUUGCACCACCCCUCUUCCACUUGUAUCAAUCAGUCAUUGUAGUGGUCCCAUCACCAUACAUAGUUUUUCUUAUAUGCAUUGUUGUGUUCAUUACUCUUUGACCACCAGUGCUCAUUGUUCACUGCUUCAUUAAAGUCUGCGUCUGGUUUGGUCCGUUGCUGCCCAGUUGCCCUCUCCAUGACAUCAUGACGAAGAGGGGGCGGUGGUGGAGGUAGUAGUGGUGGUAGCAGUAAUGGUCCCAUAAUUACUACCCACUUUCCAACUUGAGUGGAGUAGAGGCCACACCAGCGGAUCCCAUGUCUUCUUCAAACGUCAACUGAGGAAAACGAAAUACAUAUAGAAGAAUCAAUAAUAUUUGGGGACCACGAUCAUAUGUUAUGUCGGAUUAUAUAAUGAUGAUUUUAUCUUAAGUAAUUAUCUACUCUUUAUUUUGAA
This is a long non-coding RNA of Macadamia integrifolia, 927 nucleotides long. RefSeq lists it as uncharacterized. NCBI's taxonomy places the organism in Eukaryota, Viridiplantae, Streptophyta, Magnoliopsida, Proteales, Proteaceae. The transcript has 2 exons. The record is from RefSeq and is a predicted model, not a curated record.